Long non-coding RNA from Anguilla anguilla (European eel), 443 nucleotides. RefSeq lists it as uncharacterized. NCBI's taxonomy places the organism in Eukaryota, Metazoa, Chordata, Actinopteri, Anguilliformes, Anguillidae. The transcript is spliced from 2 exons. The record is from RefSeq and is a predicted model, not a curated record.
UGAGACUGGGAGUACAUGCUGAGAGAACGAGUUCUGAGUUUGGUUUGUCUGAGCGCAAAAGACGAGGAGAAAGAAAACUGAAAAGUUGGCCAGCUACAAGUGCUGAGCUGAAAAGCUAUUGCUCAGCAAACGACACUUCAGUCCCAGAACUGCCACAGCUCCCUCCCAGGGGAGUCACAAUCAAAAUCUUGUUUAGUUGAAUAUGAUGUUAUAGUGCUGAGCUAGGUUUAUUUAUUUUUUAAACCAAGAUGGUGAGUGAAGUGACCAGACGGUCGAGUAGGCCGAGACCAUAAACUACCCAGGGUACUUCAGGAGACGUGCUCUCGCGCCACCCAAACUCAUCUCACGCCAAAUAAAGACUGCAAACUAAGAACAAAGUCGCUCCCAGAUUAAACUAAUUACUGUAUCACCUCGCAGGGCAACAUGAGAUUAAACAUUCAAGA